This 1640-nucleotide ribosomal RNA is filed under the name uncultured eukaryote. Its description in RNAcentral is "partial small subunit ribosomal RNA". It matches the Rfam family "Eukaryotic small subunit ribosomal RNA". The record is from RNAcentral.
AGCAUAUGCUUGACUUGGAGAUUAAGCCAUGCAUGUCUAAGUAUAAGUAAUAUAUUGCGAAACUGCGAAUGGCUCAUUAAAACAGUUAUAAUUUAUUUGGUGAUAUAUUUACAUGGAUAACCAUGAGAAAUCUUGGCUAAUACAUGCAUAAAGACCUUCUCGGGUUGUAUUUAUUAGUUUUAACCAACAUAUUGUGAGGAAUCAUAAUAACUAACCGAAGCGCAUCGCUGCGCUACACCAUUCAAGUUUCUGCCCUAUCAGCUUUCGAUGGUAGUGUAUUGGACUACCAUGGCAAUAACGGGUAACGGAGAAUUGGGGUUCGAUUCCGGAGAGGGAGCCUGAGAAACGGCUACCAUUUCUAAGGAAGGCAGCAGGCGCGUAAAUUACCCAAUCCUGACUAAGGGAGGUAGUUAAUGGAAAUAAUGCAUUCGGCUCUAUGAGCUCUGAAUAUGUAAUGAGUUGAACUUAAUCUACUCUUUGAAUCCUAUUAGAGGGCAAGUCUGGUGCCAGCAGCCGCGGUAAUUCCAGCUCUAAUAGCGUAUAUUAACGUUGUUGCAGUUAAAAAGCUCGUAGUUGAAAUUCCGGCGAUUCGUCGCCUGUCAGGGACUACGGGGGAUAAUGUCAAAAUUUUCUCCCGUGCGAACUGACUUUUACUGUGAACAAAUUAAAGUGCUUAAAGCAAGCUAUCGCUUGAAUAUUUUAGCAUGGAAUAAUAAAAUACGACUUUAUUCAUUUUAUUGGUUAUUGGAUAAAGUAAUGAUUAACAGAAACAGUUGGGGGCAUUCGUAUUUGAUAGUCAGAGGUGAAAUUCUUAGAUUUAUCAAAGACGAUCUAAUGCGAAAGCAUUUGCCAAGGAUGUUUUCAUUAAUCAAGAACGAAAGUUAGGGUAUCGAAGACGAUCAGAUACCGUCGUAGUCCUAACCAUAAACUAUACCGACUAGGGAUUGGUAGGGUAUAACUCUAUCAGCACCUAAUGAGAAAUCAAAGUCUUUGGGUUCUUGGGGGAGUAUGGUCGCAAGGCUGAAACUUAAAGGAAUAGACGGAAGCGCACUACCAGGAGUGGAGUCUGCGGCUUAAUUUGAUUCAACACGGGGAAACUUACCAGGGCAACAUGUCGAUAGGAUUGACAGAUUGAUAGCUUUUUCUUGAUCCGAUACUUUGUGGUGCAUGGCCGUUCUUAGUUGGUGGAGUGAUUUGUCAGGUUAAUUCCCUUAACGAACGAGACCUUAACCUGCUAAAUAGGAGUCUCUAAACUCUAGAGAUAUCCUUCUUAGAGGGACUACUGAAUCCAAAUCAGUGGAAGUUUGAGGCAAUAACAGGUCCGUGAUGCCCUUAGAUGUUCUGGGCCGCACGCGUACUACACUGAUGCAUGCAGUAAGUCAACCUAAUCCGAAAGGAGAUGGGUAAUCUUCGCAAAGUGCAUCGUGCUUGGGAUAGAUCUUUGCAAUUGUGGAUCUUGAACGAGGAAUUCCUAGUAAGCAUGGGUCAUCAACCCAUGUUGAUUACGUCCCUGCCCUUUGUACUCACCGCCUGCCGCUUCUACCGAUUCGAGUGGUUCGACGAAUUCUCCGGACUGGCCUAGCCAGGAAGUUGUGUAAGUCAUAUCACUUAGAGGAAGAAUAAGGCGUAACAAGGUAUCU